GACUUCUGAGAAAAAGACCAGAUCAUUUGUGGCUCUCCUUCCCUAGUGUUUAUGAGGAAGAAUACUUCUGAAAGCAAAUGAGUACUAAGUACAGAAUCUUAUCAGCUUAUUGGUGUGCAGAAGGAAUAUUUCGGCUAUUAAGCAAAUGGCAUUUUAAAAAUGCAGUAUUCAAGUUACAUUGAUAAGCAUUCCUCACACCUUAAGGAGUGGGUGCAUGUAGAGUGCUUCAAAUGGUUACUGAUAUAAGGUCAUAAAUGAGGCAAAGAUAUGAACACUUCUCUUGAAUUGUUUGCAUUUUGCACAUGUGAGAUAUUGUUAUCAUUAUUCAUACUGGGGCUGUAUUUUUCAGAUUAGGGAAGGGCUAAAAGAGUUUCAGAGACAGAGUUAUUAGAGGGGGUAGGAACCAGCAGUGUUUUUCAGGUUCUUGUCCCGAUUAAUGAAUUGGUCAGGACUGUUGGUGGAUGUGAAAGAUUACCAUUUAUUGUAGGGCAGAAAUGAGAAAAGGAAAAGGGAAAGAAAUAUUCAGGGAGAAAAGGAAAAAAGAAAAAAAAAUCUGUCCUGUGAGCAGAAUGGACCAGUGCAAGAAUAAGAGAGCCGUGGCACCAGUCACUUGCUGCCAUCCUUUUGUCUUCUUAGCUGAUCCAAGUGGUCCCAUUUCAUCUGUGUCUGAAGACUGGUAUCAGGUGCCAGGCUCAGUGUGUUCUCAUAUCAUUGGCACCAGAUGCAGGGCUCAGCUUGAUCCUGGGUCAGGCUCAGGUGCUGUUGCUCUGCACUCAUGGAAGCAAGUUUCUGUGAUGCCUUCCUGGGCAAGCCAUGUACAGACCAAAAAGCAGCCUUCAGAAGCAUCUUGCAGGUCUUAUGUAGCAUUCGUGGUUGAUGGCCUUGCCUUAUCCUGAGUUUCUUAUCCAGAGCCUUGGGAACCAAGGACAUCCUGGAGCCCAGCAGAGGGGAAGACGGACCUGGGGAUGAGUGGAAAGAUGGGGUAGAUGACAUUGAUGCCUUUCAACACAUUAAUAUAAAGC
This 1022-nucleotide long non-coding RNA is filed under the name Fukomys damarensis (Damara mole-rat). RNAcentral's name for it is "lncRNA (ENSFDAG00000029738.1)". The record is from RNAcentral. Lineage: Eukaryota; Metazoa; Chordata; Mammalia; Rodentia; Bathyergidae.